AGAUCCAUUGGUGGGGCGGAGGCUGUGGCGUCCAGCGGCGGCAAUGGGGGCGGCGGCGCCCAGGUUUCUCCCUCCAUCUCUCUCUCACCGCCGUCGCCGUGGCCCAGGUCCUCCCUGGCGUGUUCUCUCUCAUGGCCCUGUGAGAGAUACCUCUUGCAGCUGCUGCUCGAGAUAAGAGAAAAGAUGCAAGUUUAGGUGCACAUCUGCCUAGAGUUCUCUCUUAUUUGUGUUUGUUCAUCUCCAAUUCUAGGUUCAUAUUAGUACUCCACUAGCUUGUGCGACUUGCCACACUGAGACAUGGAAGACCAUCAGGAAAAUCAGCGCACUCUAGCCGUGGCUAUGAUGCAUAUCUCUCUGCAAAAUUCGAGAUAAGUUUCCUUUUCAGGUGUAUUUGAUUAAUUUGCCCUACGAGUACAUAUUUAAUUUUUUUGAAGUACCAUUAAUUUGUUCCUAUCAAAAGUGUGUAACGAGGCUGGAGCUAUGUAUGCACCAUGUUCUGUUUAACUUUGUUUGCAGCUUAAAGUUUACAUAGUUUCGUUGAUAAUUGUAUGUAUGAUCUUGCUCAUCUUCUAAAAGCAAUCACCAAAUAGCCAUUUUAAUUUCCUACAUGUUCCAUCCAAAAUCUAUUUGCUAAAAAUUAUCAGUGGCUAGCAACCAGCACGCCAAAACAGAACUGUAAUAACCGGAUCUUAAACUUCAGUUGUGCCCGCAUAUGUGUCGUAACUGUAGCCUAAUAGCUUCAUGGGCUCUAUUUCUGCUGCGAGACCAGGAGACUACGCUACAUGUGAUUCUUUCAAAUCAAUUGAAAGUUAAGUAGGAGUUUGCUGCUGAUCAUUAAACAAUCGCAUUUUCCUAAAAAUAAUGUUCUAUUCUAAUCCAUUUCAUGGUACUGUAGGAGACGCUGUUUUUUGAAUGGCUCUUUUAAUUGCUGCACUUUUUAGCAUAUGAUUUACUUAUAUACACAAAUUAUUGUGUUUUGUAUAGGACUUAAAUCUCGGGAAGCAUAAGUGUCUCAAAGGGAGUUUUAGGCACAAGCUGUUCAAGAAUAUGGCCCAUUGGCGCAUUCUUCUCUCGGGCACCUUUGCUCUUUGGGGUUGCACGCUACCGCAGCGUGGAUGUUGCCUUGAAGCUUCGCAAGACCAGCGACAAAAUGGAAGAUUGUUUCAAUUUGAUUCUUUCCAUCAACCAGUUAAACAAGAUCCGCAGAGAUGUUACCAAGGUAAAUUCUCUCAUAUGAUCCUCUCAGGCCAGCCAAUCCACAGUAGUUGACACAUCUUAAUAACCAAUUAGUCAAGAAAGAAGUUCCUACCAUGUUGCCAACUCAUGCCAAAUUUACUACACCAAUUUGGGAGAGUAAAUGUUGCCGGCAGCACGGUAUGGCCAGACCAUGUAGUGCAUCUGUCAUAGAGUUGGUCCUCUGUGCAUGAACAUUCAAAAGAAACUUGGUAGCGACAGUAAGUAGUUGCCUACUUCAUUGUGAGUUUUUACCAGAUAGUCAGUUUAUUUAGUUUUAUAUUUCCAGUACUCUGUUCUCGUGGAGUCCAUUUGGCAUUCCUGUCAUGUCACAGGCCUUGCCAGAAAUUAUAUUGUACAUACAGUUUGUAUUGCCAUUAAGCUGUUU
Molecule: long non-coding RNA, 1621 nt
Organism: Lolium perenne
Lineage: Eukaryota; Viridiplantae; Streptophyta; Magnoliopsida; Poales; Poaceae
Source: RefSeq, a predicted model, not a curated record